AUAUGAUUCAAGACCAAAAAAAAAAGAACCCCUUCAUAAGAAGGGUGUUUCUUUUUCUUCAAACUACGGCAACAACAACUCUUUUUUUUUUUGGUUUUUUUGUUUUUGUUUU
RNAcentral lists this non-coding RNA (112 nucleotides) under Oxyrrhis marina. Lineage: Eukaryota; Dinophyceae; Oxyrrhinales; Oxyrrhinaceae. The record is from RNAcentral.